GAAAUGCGAUAAGUAAUGUGAAUUGCAGAAUUCAGUGAAUCAUCGAAUCUUUGAACGCACCUUGCGCUCCUUGGUAUUCCUUGGAGCAUGCCUGUUUGAGUAUCAUGAAAUCUUCAAAGUAAAUCUUUUGUUAACUCAAUUGGUUUCUACUUUGGUAUUGGAGGUCUUUGCAGCUUCACACCUGCUCCUCUUUGUUCAUUAGCUGGAUCUCAGUGUUAUGCUUGGUUCCACUCGGCGUGAUAAGUUAUCUAUCGCUGAGGACACUGUAAAAGGUGGCCAAGGUAAAUGCAGAUGAACCGCUUCUAAUAGUCCAUUGACUUGGACAAUACUUUUAUGAUCUGAUCUCAAAUGAGGUAGGACUACCCGCUGAACUUAAGC
This 378-nucleotide unclassified non-coding RNA is filed under the name plant metagenome. RNAcentral describes it as "partial contains 5.8S ribosomal RNA, internal transcribed spacer 2, and large subunit ribosomal RNA". The stretch from base 1 to 105 matches the Rfam family "5.8S ribosomal RNA", at positions 50 to 154 of the family's 154-position model. The record is from RNAcentral.